AGCCUCUGGAUGUGGACCUUGUUGCUGAUCCUGAUUUCCCUGCUGUGAUUUAUAACGUUAUUGACUUUGUGAGUGAGACCGAACAGGCCUCGGAUAUCACAUCAGACAUGAUUCAAGUCAGUAUGGCGGAGACUGAACAUCUUACUGCUGACACGGCCUCUUCUGACUUGCAGAAACCAGCUGAUGAAGAGGAGUUAAAAGCUUAAAUGGUCACGCAUCUGUCCCUUAAAAUCGAGGACACGUCUGAAGACGACAUCAUCUUCUUGACGGAGUGGCAGGUUUCCCCGGCCGAGGUGAGCGAGCCCGGUAGUAAAGAGUAGCUGCGGCUAGACUACUUCAUCAGUCGGUGCUCUUUUUUUAAAUUUAUUUUAUUUAGACAUAUUCAGAACAGUUUGUUCAGAAGCGACGGUAAAGAAAAUUCAUUACAGCUUCGUUUUGGUUUAAUAAAAGGUUGAGUUUAAAAGUGCAUGUGUUACGUGUUGUGAUGAGGAAAACUAUCGAAACAUCAUUUUGUUUAGUAGUGUCUCGUACUUUUCCUUCAUUUUAUAUAGCACAAAAUAGUGGACCCGGUUCUUGUUCUUUACAGGUCCACAUCAGAAUUUCAGUAAAAAAUAAACAAGGUGCAAGUUUCACUGGUGCUUUUGAGAUUAAACAAUGCACACACAAAACAUGUUUCAUUCCCUUUUUUUAUUGCCAUUUAUAAAUCAUAUGUAAAACGGAUAUAAAUUACACAAUAAUUAUUACAGUCAGGCUUUUCAUGUGCCAGUGUUUUAUCUUCCUAUAGUUCAUUUGCAUCUCAGGAUUGUUU
This is a long non-coding RNA of Ictalurus punctatus (channel catfish), 808 nucleotides long. RefSeq lists it as uncharacterized. The transcript has 4 exons. The record is from RefSeq and is a predicted model, not a curated record. Lineage: Eukaryota; Metazoa; Chordata; Actinopteri; Siluriformes; Ictaluridae.